UAUUGAGAACUUGUCGCGCGAGAACGGAGUUUUGGCGUUCCUCAGCUAAACUGUGAACAAACGGUUUGCUGACCUCCGUCGGUUAUGCAGGGAACGGGGGCUGCAGCAGGUGCAUCAGAGCUAAGACCUGCGAUUCAAAAAAAAACAACGUAUAUUACCAGGCCAUCAGACUGUUGAACAGCCAUCGCUAGCCGUCUGCUUUUGUCUCGUUCUAGUCACACCAUCUUCAGAGAGCUGCACGCAUGGAGAUGUUUCCCCCACGUUCACUGACUGGCCUGCUUCAUCAGAUAUGCUUGUGAUGGUUCACAGCAGCAUCAAGCACCAUCACCCUCAAAAAAAUAUAUUUUGAUACUUGGUGCCUCUUCAAAAGGCAGGUGAUUGUUGGAAGGCUGAUGGAUGCCACAUUGGCAAAGGUGUGUUCGUUCUCCUCAAUGGCCUGCUAUAUUUCGGACAGCCGUAUGUCAUUCCUGGCCCUCACCAUUUCCACCACUGCCCACUCCUGCUGGUCGGUCAGCACAUGGCCACCACCACGAGGUCUUCUGUCAAUUCUGAGGGAAGAACAGUAUACUGUCAAAAUAUCAUAUUGUAAGAAAUAAUACUUUAACAUGUUUUGUGAAUUUACAUGCAUUACAAUAUGUCAUUUACUGUAAAAGUAAUGGUAAAUCAUAGUGCAUAUCCUGCAGACUUACCGGUUUUCUUGGCAAAGUGUUCUCAUGAUCGAAUUGACAGUUGAUCUUUUCAGAUUGGGGUGAACUAAUGUGGCAGCCUCUGCCUUGGUAAGGCCUCUGUUUACCACAUGGUCAACGACAAUGGCCCGGACUUCAUUAGGCACAACAGUUCCCUGCCGUCUGCCUCCCUCUGAUGUUCACGUCUUUGACGGGCCCCUUGUCCACAAGCUCUUUUUUUUUUUCUUCAUUUCCCUUGCUGUCUAUCCUGCUCCUGUUCACCCCCCCACCCCCUUUUAUAUGGGGACCAAUUGUGGUUACCACUAUGUGAAAUCAAUUAGCAAUAAGGAGUAUUCAUUGUGUAUGGUUAUCAUGUAUCAUACAUGUAAUUUAGAUGUUUAUACUUUACAAACACACAUUUUAUUUCUGUAGUUCUCAAAAUCCAUAUAUAGUAGACAAAGCAGUUUAAAAUCUAUAGUUUUACUAAACGGUUAAGUGAUUAACCAUUUAAGCGCAGUUGGAUUAAGUGAUGGUCAAACUUAUUUAAACAAAUGAGAAGAGAAUCAUAUGAAAAUUAUUGUUUGCAUUGCAUUGUAAAAGGCAAUUACUUUAUAUGAAAGGUAUUUCUAGAUGAAACCCUGAUUAGGUUUGGUGGAAAAGUUACUGUGUGAUUUUGUGUGUUGUACUUAGUCAAUUGAAAAUGUGCUUAAAGUUUUGAAAAAACAGCCUUUUCGAUGAUCUGUUUUGAGUUUUGUACUAAGAGUUGUGAAAUUUUAGCACAUACUUGUGGAAAUAGUCCCAAAGUGAUAAAAAAAAACUGUAAUCAGAUUUGUCCCACCGUUCUUGAUUUCUUGUCUUAUUUGUAUUUUUUCCCCUUACAUUUUAAUUGUUUGACAUUUUCCUGCAUUGUAAGGAGCUAGUAACAUAAGCAUUUCGCUCCACCCGCUAUAACACUUGCUAAACUGU
Molecule: long non-coding RNA, 1631 nt
Organism: Coregonus clupeaformis (lake whitefish)
Lineage: Eukaryota; Metazoa; Chordata; Actinopteri; Salmoniformes; Salmonidae
Exons: 4
Source: RefSeq, a predicted model, not a curated record